AAGAAAUGUUGUUGUAAUAUUAAUUACUAAAAAAAGCAUAUUUAACCUCAGACGCGAAAUGCAUUUAACCUCGGCUACAAAGGCGAGGUAACGAAGAGCGUCAUGAAAAGUGAACACUUUACCUUUUUGGAAUUCUGAAAUGGUGAAAACACAUGUCCCCUCAGUUUUGUAAUUACACCGACGAAUAUACCACAUUUCACCUCAGUUAUCUCAUAAAAUCGAGGGGUAAAAU
This 232-nucleotide long non-coding RNA is filed under the name Lathyrus oleraceus (garden pea). Its description in RNAcentral is "Pisum sativum (pea) long non-coding RNA (PSAT_LNC020960)". The record is from RNAcentral. Lineage: Eukaryota; Viridiplantae; Streptophyta; Magnoliopsida; Fabales; Fabaceae.